Molecule: long non-coding RNA, 618 nt
Organism: Drosophila obscura
Lineage: Eukaryota; Metazoa; Arthropoda; Insecta; Diptera; Drosophilidae
Exons: 2
Source: RefSeq, a predicted model, not a curated record
AACAUGUUUAAUUUUUUUUUUGAACAAGUAGUGCAUUGAUUUAGUUGUCAGCGUGUUUUGUGACAUAAUCUCGAAAAUCUAUUUUUAAUAUUUGUCAGUGUGUUUUUUGUUUUUUUGUGAAUUUGGUGGCACCGUCGAACAAAUGAUGCGACACAGUGGACCUUAAAGAACAGUCGAACUAAUCGAAGAAAAUAAUGAAAAUGUGUAUGAGGGCAUGGCCCUCCCAAUUGCAUGAAUCCUAACGAGUAGAGAUACGAAAUGAAAAGUGGAAAAGUGGAGCGGAGACGUUGUCGCCGCUACAUAAUCGACAAUAUCAGAUAAAAUUACCGACAAAAGAGACCGGUACCAUUGAACAGCAUACUCAUCUGCACGGAUCCAGACUCAAACAUCUUCCUGAGGUCGAUUCGAAAAUUCAUGCUUCUAAAUGACAUCGCUCGGAGCAACAGAAAUAGUCAACAAUUUUGCGGAAAAUGGUCUACAAUAUAAUUCAACAUUUAAAAUUAAAGGACAACUGUACCACAGAGAAAGCUAAAUGCUUCCAAUGCCAAACGAAGCACAUCAGUUUGUCAAAUAUACUUCAUGGAUGGUGAGGACCAAAAUCGCGCACUCACCAAUAGG